UUCUUAAUAUUAUAACACGCGAACGCGGUCUUAAACUAGGUUUGGAUUAAUUCUCCCAGAAGCAGAAUUUAAUUCUUAAUCUCCCUGUAUCGAAAUUUAUUGCGAGAAAAUUCCGUAACGCGAGUUAUAAUGAUAUUUGUGUGUAUACGCAUAUACGCAAUAGUACUCGUUGCGCUAGGAAUUGUACUUUCUUAAUAUUAUAACACGCGAACGCGGUCUUAAACUAGGUUCGGAUUAAUUCUCCCAGAAGCAGAAUUUAAUUCUUAAUCUCCCUCUAUCGAAAUUUAGUGCGAGAAAAUUCCGUAACGCGAGUUAUAAUGAUAUUUGUGUGUAUACGCAUAUACGCAAUAGUACUCGUAGCGCUAGGAAUUGUACUUUCUUAAUAUUAUAACACGCGAACGCGGUCUUAAACUAGGUUCGGAUUAAUUCUCCCAGAAGCAGAAUUUAAUUCUUAAUCUCCCUGUAUCGAAAUUUAUUGCGAGAAAAUUCCGUAACGCGAGUUAUAAUGAUAGUUGUGUGUAUACGCAUAUACGCAAUAGUACUCGUUGCGCUAGGAAUUGUACUUUCUUAAUAUUAUAACACGCGAACGCGGUCUUAAACUAGGUUCGGAUUAAUUCUCCCAGAAGCAGAAUUUAAUUCUUAAUCUCCCUGUAUCGAAAUUUAUUGCGAGAAAAUUCCGUAACGCGAGUUAUAAUGAUAUUUGUGUGUAUACGCAUAUACGCAAUAGUACUCGUAGCGCUAGGAAUUGUACUUUCUUAAUAUUAUAACACGCGAACGCGGUCUUAAACUAGGUUUGGAUUAAUUCUCCCAGAAGCAGAAUUUUAUUCUUAAUCUCCCUGUAUAGAAAUAUAGUGCGAGAAAAUUCCGUAACGCGAGUUAUAAUGAUAUUUGUGUGUAUACGCAUAUACGCAAUAGUACUCGUAGCGCUAGGAAUUGUACUUUCUUAAUAUUAUAACACGCGAACGCGGUCUUAAACUAGGUUUGGAUUAAUUCUCCCAGAAGCAGAAUUUAAUUCUUAAUCUCCCUGUAUAGAAAUUUAUUGCGAGAAAAUUCCGUAACGCGAGUUAUAAUGAUAUUUGUGUGUAUACGCAUAUACGCAAUAGUACUCGUAGCGCUAGGAAUUGUACUUUCUUAAUAUUAUAACACGCGAACGCGGUCUUAAACUAGGUUUGGAUUAAUUCUCCCAGAAGCAGAAUUUAAUUCUUAAUCUCCCUGUAUCGAAAUUUAUUGCGAGAAAAUUCCGUAACGCGAGUUAUAAUGAUAUUUGUGUGUAUACGCAUAUACGCAAUAGUACUCGUUGCGCUAGGAAUUGUACUUUCUUAAUAUUAUAACACGCGAACGCGGUCUUAAACUAGGUUUGGAUUAAUUCUCCCAGAAGCAGAAUUUAAUUCUUAAUCUCCCUGUAUAGAAAUAUAGUGCGAGAAAAUUCCGUAACGCGAGUUAUAAUGAUAUUUGUGUGUAUACGCAUAUACGCAAUAGUACUCGUAGCGCUAGGAAUUGUACUUUCUUAAUAUUAUAACACGCGAACGCGGUCUUAAACUAGGUUUGGAUUAAUUCUCCCAGAAGCAGAAUUUAAUUCUUAAUCUCCC
Molecule: long non-coding RNA, 1589 nt
Organism: Dalotia coriaria
Lineage: Eukaryota; Metazoa; Arthropoda; Insecta; Coleoptera; Staphylinidae
Exons: 3
Source: RefSeq, a predicted model, not a curated record